RNAcentral lists this long non-coding RNA (545 nucleotides) under Salmo salar (Atlantic salmon). Its description in RNAcentral is "lncRNA (ENSSSAG00000097166.1)". Lineage: Eukaryota; Metazoa; Chordata; Actinopteri; Salmoniformes; Salmonidae. The record is from RNAcentral.
UAUUGUUCCAGGUAUUAUAGUGUUCUGUGGGUAUUGUUCCAGGUAUUACAGUGUUCUGUGGGUAUUGUUCCAGGUAUUACAGUGUUCUGUGGGUAUUGUUCCAGGUAUUACAGUGUUCUGUGGGUAUUGUUCCAGGUAUUAUAGUGUUCUGUGGGUAUUGUUCCAGGUAUUAUAGUGUUCUGUGGGUAUUGUUCCAGGUAUUACAGUGUGUUCUGUGGGUAUUGUUCCAGGUAUUACAGUGUGUUCUGUGGGUAUUGUUCCAGGUAUUAUAGUGUUCUGUGGGUAUUGUUCCAGGUAUUAUAGUGUUCUGUGGGUAUUGUUCCAGGUAUUAUAGUGUUCUGUGGGUAUUGUUCCAGGUAUUAUAGUGUUCUGUGGGUAUUGUUCCAGGUAUUAUAGUGUUCUGUGGGUAUUGUUCCAGGUAUUAUAGUGUUCUGUGGGUAUUGUUCCAGGUAUUAUAGUGUGUUCUGUGGGUAUUGUUCCAGGUAUUACAGUGUUCUGUGGGUAUUGUUCCAGGUAUUAUAGUGUUCUGUAAGUAUUGUUCCAGG